This 765-nucleotide ribosomal RNA is filed under the name uncultured Streptococcus sp. RNAcentral describes it as "bacterial SSU rRNA". It matches the Rfam family "Bacterial small subunit ribosomal RNA", at positions 28 to 776 of the family's 1533-position model. Lineage: Bacteria; Bacillati; Bacillota; Bacilli; Lactobacillales; Streptococcaceae. The record is from RNAcentral.
GAUGAACGCUGGCGGCGUGCCUAAUACAUGCAAGUAGAACGCUGAAGCUUGGUGCUUGCACCGAGCGGAUGAGUUGCGAACGGGUGAGUAACGCGUAGGUAACCUGCCUCUUAGCGGGGGAUAACUAUUGGAAACGAUAGCUAAUACCGCAUAAAAGUCGAUAUCGCAUGAUAUUGAUUUGAAAGGUGCAAAUGCAUCACUAAGAGAUGGACCUGCGUUGUAUUAGCUAGUUGGUGAGGUAACGGCUCACCAAGGCGACGAUACAUAGCCGACCUGAGAGGGUGAUCGGCCACACUGGGACUGAGACACGGCCCAGACUCCUACGGGAGGCAGCAGUAGGGAAUCUUCGGCAAUGGGGGCAACCCUGACCGAGCAACGCCGCGUGAGUGAAGAAGGUUUUCGGAUCGUAAAGCUCUGUUGUAAGAGAAGGACGAGUGUGAGAGUGGAAAGUCCACACUGUGACGGUAACUUACCAGAAAGGGACGGCUAACUACGUGCCAGCAGCCGCGGUAAUACGUAGGUCCCGAGCGUUAUCCGGAUUUAUUGGGCGUAAAGCGAGCGCAGGCGGUUAGAUAAGUCUGAAGUUAAAGGCUGUGGCUUAACCAUAGUACGCUUUGGAAACUGUUUAACUUGAGUGCAGAAGGGGAGAGUGGAAUUCCAUGUGUAGCGGUGAAAUGCGUAGAUAUAUGGAGGAACACCGGUGGCGAAAGCGGCUCUCUGGUCUGUAACUGACGCUGAGGCUCGAAAGCGUGGGGAGCAAACAGG